UGAUAGUUGAAGAUCACUACAUAGUGAGAUACACAAUCUGAAUAAAUAUGUGCUAAUAUUCCUUGAAUACCUGCUUUAGAAAACUUCAAGUCUUACACCUGUUCAAAUUUCUAAUAUCCCUACUUGCUUAGCUCUGACCGAACUCAUCUAGAAAUGUUUUUCAUAGUGAACAGGGUUAUUUAGUUCCUAUAUAGACAUUACUGC
RNAcentral lists this long non-coding RNA (204 nucleotides) under Solanum tuberosum (potato). RNAcentral's name for it is "long non-coding RNA (STUB_LNC011709)". Lineage: Eukaryota; Viridiplantae; Streptophyta; Magnoliopsida; Solanales; Solanaceae. The record is from RNAcentral.